Molecule: transfer RNA, 82 nt
Filed under: Nocardioides sp. Root614
Lineage: Bacteria; Bacillati; Actinomycetota; Actinomycetes; Propionibacteriales; Nocardioidaceae
Rfam family: tRNA
About the family: Transfer RNA (tRNA) molecules are approximately 80 nucleotides in length. Their secondary structure includes four short double-helical elements and three loops (D, anti-codon, and T loops).
Source: Rfam by way of RNAcentral
GCCCGUCUGGCGGAACGGUAGACGCGCGGCGCUCAGAACGCCGUGUCCCCAGGGCGUCCGGGUUCGAAUCCCGGGGCGGGCA